This 75-nucleotide transfer RNA is filed under the name Clostridia bacterium. RNAcentral's name for it is "tRNA-Glu". It matches the Rfam family "tRNA". From Rfam's summary of the family: Transfer RNA (tRNA) molecules are approximately 80 nucleotides in length. Lineage: Bacteria; Bacillati; Bacillota; Clostridia. The record is from RNAcentral.
GGCCUCUUGGUCAAUCGGUUAAGACAUCGCCCUUUCACGGCGGAGUGAGGGGUUCGACUCCCCUAGAGGCUACCA